This 373-nucleotide ribosomal RNA is filed under the name Pseudomonas sp. JV414. RNAcentral describes it as "bacterial SSU rRNA". It matches the Rfam family "Bacterial small subunit ribosomal RNA", at positions 1 to 376 of the family's 1533-position model. Lineage: Bacteria; Pseudomonadati; Pseudomonadota; Gammaproteobacteria; Pseudomonadales; Pseudomonadaceae. The record is from RNAcentral.
GAACUGAAGAGUUUGAUCAUGGCUCAGAUUGAACGCUGGCGGCAGGCCUAACACAUGCAAGUCGAGCGGUAGAGAGGUGCUUGCACCUCUUGAGAGCGGCGGACGGGUGAGUAAUGCCUAGGAAUCUGCCUGGUAGUGGGGGAUAACGCUCGGAAACGGACGCUAAUACCGCAUACGUCCUACGGGAGAAAGCAGGGGACCUUCGGGCCUUGCGCUAUCAGAUGAGCCUAGGUCGGAUUAGCUAGUUGGUGAGGUAAUGGCUCACCAAGGCGACGAUCCGUAACUGGUCUGAGAGGAUGAUCAGUCACACUGGAACUGAGACACGGUCCAGACUCCUACGGGAGGCAGCAGUGGGGAAUAUUGGACAAUGGGC